GUGUGUGUGUCUUUUUGGCUACAUGUAGAGUUUGUGUGACAGUAUCUCUGUCGUUAUCACCAAUGUGUGUUUAGUCAAACAAGAGACAGGGUGAUGCUGUGUUUUGCAUCUGCGCCUAUUUCCAAAAGCUCCCAGGCGAGGAGUAGGUCCUCAUGAUCAAAAGUAGUGUUUGUUUUUUUCUUCCAGACCCCGAGAGGGAGAAACGCCGUGUCCCUGCAGAGCGCAGGCGGGCAAACUGCCUCACACUGAUCACAUCUCCUGAGAGAAACGCUUCCUGUGUAUGUAUAGUGAGUAUGUGCUGCUGUUUCAUUGUUCUCUUCCCCUCUCAUUCCUACCCUCCCUCUUCGCUCUUUUCAGGUGCCACCGGCUCUCGACCGUGAGCUGACACUGAUGUGUGCUGUCACCUCUGCUGCACCUGGAGGUGGGACUGAAACGUAUUCGCACAGGACGGGAAAUCUCAGGCCUUUCGCAUGAACAUGAUCUCCUCCAGGCCACGGCCCGCGUCUUGUUAAAGCGGCACGGACCCGGCGUGGAUUGAGUUUAAAAGUAAUAAAGAAGCGGACCUGCUGGC
Long non-coding RNA from Gasterosteus aculeatus aculeatus (three-spined stickleback), 571 nucleotides. The record is from Ensembl. Lineage: Eukaryota; Metazoa; Chordata; Actinopteri; Perciformes; Gasterosteidae.